AUCAGGUUUGUCACUGCUGAAUACUGAUGAUAAUAGUAGAAAAAUAUGUUCUAGAGUUAGGCAAAAACAGGUCCAGUUGAUAAAGAUAUGAAAAACCAUGAAGAUAAUCAAACUAUGCAAGUCAUCGAUAUUACCUGAAAAAAAAUAGUUCACCCUUUUAACAACCAGAUAAUAAAAGAAACUCAUAAGGAAAUUCCGAAAGAGUUGGAGUGGUUUUUCCACUCAUAAAACACAUAAUUCAAUACUAUCAUCGUUCAUUAGUGACAAAAAUCAAAUGCAAAUAUCUUCCAUGAUACAAAUCAAAUCAUUGUACAGCCAUCAAAGAAAUAUUACCAUGAUAGAGCCAAUCGAAGCGUUAUAAUUACCAUGAUAGUGCCAUUCACAUCAGAAAACGAAAAGCUUUAAUCCUAAAGGUCCACUGAAAAUGAGCAAUAUGCUUACUGAAUUCUGAAUUUCAAGUAAUGAAAGACAGAUUAAUACUGAUUAGAUUCAAUCUCAAUUUGC
This 504-nucleotide small nuclear RNA is filed under the name Cryptosporidium parvum. The record is from RNAcentral. Lineage: Eukaryota; Apicomplexa; Conoidasida; Eucoccidiorida; Cryptosporidiidae.